AUGACGCCGCCUGGGGGUUUAAGGCGCACACAUGCCUCCGGGUUCCGUGUUGUGAGAGAGAACGUGCAAAGGGGAGGUGGUGGUGGCGGGCCAGUCGCUCAGUCGUGUCUGACUCUCGCCACCCCACGGACUGGAGCCGGCCGGGCUCCUCCGUGCAUGGGAUUCUCCAGGCAAGAAUACUGGGGUGGGCUGCCAUUCCCUUCUCCAGAUCUUCCCCACCCAGGGAUCGAACCCACGUCUGCUGCGUCGCAGGCAGUUUCUUUACCAGCUGAGCCCUCAGGGGAGCCCACAGCCAAAAGGAAGCCUCUCAAAUCUCAGGAUGAGCCCCAGAGCCCGGGGAGGAAGGGAGAAGGGGGAGGGCUCUUCAACAAGAGCGAGCCCCACUGCUAUGAACUCAGGGCCGCUAACCUGCAUCUGGGCUUUAAGACGCCGGCGGCUCCCAGCGGCGCUCACAUGACCGUCGGAGGCAGCGGGAGCCACGGUACCGCCCAGGCUGGUCCAGGCCACCGCAGAGCCCCUCUGCUGGGCCCUGGGGUUUGGGGCACGCCAAGCCCCCAGCUCCACGUAGUCAAAUCCGGUAGGCCAGCCGUCCUGAGAGCAGGUUUGAAGUUGGGUCACAGAGGCUGGAAGAACUUGGCUGAUAUUUCACCCCAGGAGUGGGGGCUCUCCGACCAUCAAAGAGAAUGUUCCUCAUCUGCAGAGGUGGCCUCCAGACAAGGCCUGGUUUCCGUGGCAAUCUGCUUUCACCCCAGGGCUGCAGGGCCAGGCUCUGGCUUCUGCCGGGAUGGGGACAGCAGGUGGCAGGGAGCCCAUCACGGCCUGGAAGGUGUCAGCGAGGUGCGGCCCUCCCGGGGGUGGAUGUUCCAGGAAGCGGGACCAGGCACGCCCAGCGCCCACCCCCCAGGUGGGGGGCACCUCAGGGCUGAGGCCCAGCCCCGUCCCAGCCAGCCCCUUCCCUCCUCGUCUCAGGAUUGUUUUCCCAAGCGCCUUGCUCGGUGGCCUUGGCCCCUGGCUUGA
Molecule: long non-coding RNA, 1017 nt
Filed under: Capra hircus (goat)
Lineage: Eukaryota; Metazoa; Chordata; Mammalia; Artiodactyla; Bovidae
Description: lncRNA (ENSCHIG00010016071.1)
Source: RNAcentral